RNAcentral lists this ribosomal RNA (253 nucleotides) under uncultured bacterium. Its description in RNAcentral is "partial 16S ribosomal RNA". It matches the Rfam family "Bacterial small subunit ribosomal RNA", at positions 524 to 776 of the family's 1533-position model. The record is from RNAcentral.
UACAGAGGUCUCAACCGUUGUUCGGAUUCAUUGGGCGUAAAGGGUGCGUAGGCGGCGCAGAAAGUAGGGUGUGAAAGCCCUCGGCUCAACCGGGGAAUUGCGCUCUAAACUACUGUGCUUGAGGGACCUAGAGGUGAGCGGAACUGAUGGUGGAGCGGUGAAAUGCGUUGAUAUCAUCAGGAACACCGGAGGCGAAGGCGGCUCACUGGGGGUCUUCUGACGCUGAGGAACGAAAGCCAGGGGAGCGAACGGG